Onychostruthus taczanowskii (white-rumped snowfinch) is the source of this 133-nucleotide long non-coding RNA. RefSeq lists it as uncharacterized. The record is from RefSeq and is a predicted model, not a curated record. The transcript has 2 exons. Lineage: Eukaryota; Metazoa; Chordata; Aves; Passeriformes; Passeridae.
GGGAAUUAUGCUGGUGUAUGACAUCACAAAUGAAAAGUCUUUUGACAACAUAAAAAAUUGGAUAAGAAACAUAGAAGAGCAUGCCUCUUCAGAUGUAGAAAGAAUGAUCUUGGGUAACAAAUGUGAUAUGAAU